This 365-nucleotide long non-coding RNA is filed under the name Mytilus galloprovincialis (Mediterranean mussel). The record is from RNAcentral. Lineage: Eukaryota; Metazoa; Mollusca; Bivalvia; Mytilida; Mytilidae.
GAGUUAUUCAAAUCGCUAUCUUAGAUUAGGCUGAGACGGAAAAGAGACUAACAUUCUACGUCAGGUGUUUUUUUGUUUCUUUCUUCUUUAACGUCCCUCUAUCAUAGAACAGUGUCAGCAAGAGAAGAUAUGAAUAUUCAACGUAAGGUAUUGUUGAAAUAUUCCUCAAGGUUUCUCUAUCUUAAAACGAAAGACGAAAAAGCUAAAACAGUCUACGUGAGGUGUUAUUGAAUUAUUACUCAAGGUUUCGCUAUCUUAACAGUAUAGGACGAAAAAGCUAAAACAUUCUACGUGAGGUGUUAUUAAAAUCUUCCACUAUCAUAGAACAGCGUAAGACGGAGAAAAUAUUCAUACCUAUAGCCCGC